AAAAAUGGAGGGAGCAGAUAUUAUGCAAAUUGUUUCAACAGAACAUAUUAUUUGCUUAUCAUUUUAGGAGCAAGAAAGGAAACUGGAAAACCCAUCCCCAUGGGACCACACCUGGCUAGUGGACUGGCUGUAACUGGAUCUGAAGAGUAACACAGAAGAAGGUCACAUAGCUUCUUGCGGUAAUUGAGGGAAUUCCAUCCUGAUGUGUCUUUCUUGUCCCAAUGUGUGUACCGCAAAAGAGUGGACACUCAUGUAUACCCAGCUGUCUACCAUUAAAGCCUGGGAUGAGGACAUUGUUGGAUGGGGUCUCAGGCUACACUUUUAUUACAGCAGUGCUGUCUGGCUUUGAAGACCCUUAAAACCAGAGUGAGAAUGAUCCUUCCUUAAGGAAACAUUCUGGUGGAUCUUCCUGUCAGCAUAAUAAAGGUAACAUUUCUAAUAAUCAAUAUAAUUCUACUUAAAAGCAUCAGCAAAGGACCUAAGACACACACUUUGCAACGCUGAGCAUCCGAGAGUGAGUUAAAAAAAUUCUAUCAUACAGGAGUGUACAACUUAAAACCAUUGCUGAAAUCAUUUAGAUGACCAUUAGCUCAUAUCUAUGAUAUUAUAG
Molecule: long non-coding RNA, 610 nt
Filed under: Canis lupus familiaris (dog)
Lineage: Eukaryota; Metazoa; Chordata; Mammalia; Carnivora; Canidae
Description: lncRNA (ENSCAFG00030010421.1)
Source: RNAcentral